Molecule: non-coding RNA, 32 nt
Filed under: Rattus norvegicus (Norway rat)
Lineage: Eukaryota; Metazoa; Chordata; Mammalia; Rodentia; Muridae
Source: RNAcentral
UGAGUCUAGGCUCAGUUUUGUGUCCUCAUAGU